UACGGGGGGGGCAAGCGUUGUUCGGAAUUACUGGGCGUAAAGGGUUCGUAGGUGGCUUGCUAAGUCAGACGUGAAAUCCCUCAGCUUAACUGGGGAACUGCGUCUGAUACUGGGUGGCUUGAGUGCAGGAGAGGAACGCGGAAUUCCAGGUGUAGCGGUGAAAUGCGUAGAUAUCUGGAGGAACACCGGUGGCGAAGGCGGCGUUCUGGACUGUAACUGACACUGAUGAACGAAAGCCAGGGGAGCAAACGGG
RNAcentral lists this ribosomal RNA (253 nucleotides) under uncultured bacterium. RNAcentral's name for it is "partial 16S ribosomal RNA". It matches the Rfam family "Bacterial small subunit ribosomal RNA", at positions 524 to 776 of the family's 1533-position model. The record is from RNAcentral.